GAUCCUGGCUCAGGAUGAACGCUAGCUACAGGCUUAACACAUGCAAGUCGAGGGGGCGAGCAUGGUCUUAGCUUGCUAAGGCCGAUGGCGACCGGCGCACGGGUGAGUAACACGUAUCCAACCUGCCGUCUACUCUUGGACAGCCUUCUGAAAGGAAGAUUAAUACAAGAUGGCAUCAUGAGUCCGCAUGUUCACAUGAUUAAAGGUAUUCCGGUAGACGAUGGGGGA
RNAcentral lists this ribosomal RNA (228 nucleotides) under uncultured bacterium. Its description in RNAcentral is "partial 16S ribosomal RNA". It matches the Rfam family "Bacterial small subunit ribosomal RNA", at positions 15 to 232 of the family's 1533-position model. The record is from RNAcentral.